RNAcentral lists this transfer RNA (73 nucleotides) under Trichonephila inaurata madagascariensis. RNAcentral's name for it is "tRNA-His". It matches the Rfam family "tRNA". Rfam says of the family: Transfer RNA (tRNA) molecules are approximately 80 nucleotides in length. Their secondary structure includes four short double-helical elements and three loops (D, anti-codon, and T loops). Lineage: Eukaryota; Metazoa; Arthropoda; Arachnida; Araneae; Nephilidae. The record is from RNAcentral.
GCCGUGUUCGUAUAGUGGUUAGUAUAUUGCGUUGUGUCCGCAAUAACCCAGGGUUCGGAUCCUGGUCACGGCA